RNAcentral lists this small RNA (261 nucleotides) under Oryza sativa Japonica Group (Japanese rice). RNAcentral's name for it is "sRNA Os06g0136650". Lineage: Eukaryota; Viridiplantae; Streptophyta; Magnoliopsida; Poales; Poaceae. The record is from RNAcentral.
CCUGAAUGUUAGGAGCAAAGCCACCUUCAUCCCCCACAUUUGUGGCAUCUUGGCCAUACUUUUUCUUGAUUACACCUUCAAGUGGUGGUACACCUCAACUCCCAUCUUCAUGGCCUCCUUGAAAGAGGAUGCACCAGUAGGGAGGAUCAUGAACUCCUGCAUGGCAAGUUUGUUUCCAGCAUGGGAUCCUCCAUUGAUCACAUUGAAAGCGGGUACAGGCAGCACGAGAGUCUUGUUUCCAGCAAGAUUUGCAAUGUGCUG